AGUGAACGCUGGCGGUAGGCCUAACACAUGCAAGUCGAACGGCAGCACAGAGGAGCUUGCUCCUUGGGUGGCGAGUGGCGGACGGGUGAGGAAUACAUCGGAAUCUACUCUGUCGCGGGGGAUAACGUAGGGAAACUUACGCUAAUACCGCAUACGACCUACGGGUGAAAGCAGGGGAUCUUCGGACCUUGCGCGAUUGAAUGAGCCGAUGUCGGAUUAGCUAGUUGGCGGGGUAAAGGCCCACCAAGGCGACGAUCCGUAGCUGGUCUGAGAAGAUGAUCAGCCACACUGGAACUGAGACACGGUCCAGACUCCUACGGGAGGCAGCAGUGGGGAAUAUUGGACAAUGGGCGCAAGCCUGAUCCAGCCAUACCGCGUGGGUGAAGAAGGCCUUCGGGUUGUAAAGCCCUUUUGUUGGGAAAGAAAUCCAGCCGGCUAAUACCUGGUUGGGAUGACGGUACCCAAAGAAUAAGCACCGGCUAACUUCGUG
This 490-nucleotide ribosomal RNA is filed under the name uncultured bacterium. RNAcentral's name for it is "partial 16S ribosomal RNA". It matches the Rfam family "Bacterial small subunit ribosomal RNA", at positions 29 to 507 of the family's 1533-position model. The record is from RNAcentral.